GCAGUCGAGCGAACAGAUAAGGAGCUUGCUCCUUUGACGUUAGCGGCGGACGGGUGAGUAACACGUGGAUAACCUACCUAUAAGACUGGGAUAACUUCGGGAAACCGGAGCUAAUACCGGAUAACAUAUUGAACCGCAUGGUUCAAUAGUGAAAGGCGGCUUUGCUGUCACUUAUAGAUGGAUCCGCGCCGUAUUAGCUAGUUGGUAAGGUAACGGCUUACCAAGGCAACGAUACGUAGCCGACCUGAGAGGGUGAUCGGCCACACUGGAACUGAGACACGGUCCAGACUCCUACGGGAGGCAGCAGUAGGGAAUCUUCCGCAAUGGGCGAAAGCCUGACGGAGCAACGCCGCGUGAGUGAUGAAGGUCUUCGGAUCGUAAAACUCUGUUAUCAGGGAAGAACAAAUGUGUAAGUAACUGUGCACAUCUUGACGGUACCUGAUCAGAAAGCCACGGCUAACUACGUGCCAGCAGCCGCGGUAAUACGUAGGUGGCAAGCGUUAUCCGGAAUUAUUGGGCGUAAAGCGCGCGUAGGCGGUUUUUUAAGUCUGAUGUGAAAGCCCACGGCUCAACCGUGGAGGGUCAUUGGAAACUGGAAAACUUGAGUGCAGAAGAGGAAAGUGGAAUUCCAUGUGUAGCGGUGAAAUGCGCAGAGAUAUGGAGGAACACCAGUGGCGAAGGCGACUUUCUGGUCUGUAACUGACGCUGAUGUGCGAAAGCGUGGGGAUCAAACAGGAUUAGAUACCCUGGUAGUCCACGCCGUAAACGAUGAGUGCUAAGUGUUAGGGGUUUCCGCCCCUUAGUGCUGCAGCUAACGCAUUAAGCACUCCGCCUGGGGAGUACGACCGCAAGGUUGAAACUCAAAGGAAUUUGACGGGGACCCGCACAAGCGG
RNAcentral lists this ribosomal RNA (893 nucleotides) under uncultured Staphylococcus sp. RNAcentral's name for it is "bacterial SSU rRNA". It matches the Rfam family "Bacterial small subunit ribosomal RNA", at positions 57 to 932 of the family's 1533-position model. Lineage: Bacteria; Bacillati; Bacillota; Bacilli; Caryophanales; Staphylococcaceae. The record is from RNAcentral.